Molecule: ribosomal RNA, 238 nt
Filed under: uncultured bacterium
Lineage: Bacteria
Description: partial 16S ribosomal RNA
Rfam family: Bacterial small subunit ribosomal RNA
Source: RNAcentral
CGUUGUUCGGAAUUACUGGGCGUAAAGGGUUUGUAGGUGGCUUGCUAAGUCAGACGUGAAAUCCCUCAGCUUAGCUGGGGAACUGCGUCUGAUACUGGCGAGCUUGAGUGCAGGAGAGGAACGCGGAAUUCCAGGUGUAGCGGUGAAAUGCGUAGAUAUCUGGAGGAACACCGGUGGCGAAGGCGGCGUUCUGGACUGUAACUGACACUGAGAAACGAAAGCCAGGGUAGCAAACGGG